This 344-nucleotide unclassified non-coding RNA is filed under the name soil metagenome. Its description in RNAcentral is "partial contains 5.8S ribosomal RNA, internal transcribed spacer 2, and large subunit ribosomal RNA". The stretch from base 1 to 120 matches the Rfam family "5.8S ribosomal RNA", at positions 35 to 154 of the family's 154-position model. The record is from RNAcentral.
GAUGAAGAACGCAGCGAAAUGCGAUAAGUAGUGUGAAUUGCAGAAUUCAGUGAAUCAUCGAAUCUUUGAACGCACAUUGCGCCCUCUGGUAUUCCGGGGGGCAUGCCUGUCCGAGCGUCAUUUGCAACCCUCAAGCCCGGCUUGUGUGAUGGGUGCCGUCCCCUACGGGACGCGCCCCGAAGGCAAUGGCGGCGUCGCGGUUAUCCGAUCAGCCAAAGUGUAUGGGGCUUUGUCACUCACUUUACGGCCCGGACCGGCGCCAGUCCGAAUCAAUCUUUUUUCUAAAGUUGACCUCGGAUCAGGUAGGGAUACCCGCUGAACUUAAGCAUAUCAAAAGCGGAGGA